Molecule: long non-coding RNA, 2798 nt
Filed under: Phaseolus vulgaris (common bean)
Lineage: Eukaryota; Viridiplantae; Streptophyta; Magnoliopsida; Fabales; Fabaceae
Description: long non-coding RNA (PVUL_LNC000889)
Source: RNAcentral
AGAAAAAUUGAAUUUACUUUACUUUUCUAUCAAUAUUUUUGGAGGAAUUUACUUAAAUAGUAUUGUAAUCAUAUAUAAUGUACCUUACAAAUUUAUUGGCUUUUAUAGCAGUUUCAUUACGAAACUGUGUCAAUUGGAACUAUGUUCAAAUACUGUUUUUGGAAGUUUUGUGAGUGUGAUUAAUUUAGUUAAUUCUUUGUUGAUGAAAAAAAAAAUAUUAUAUUAUGUGUUAAAGAAUGUAUGGAAAAAAAUGAUAUACAUGUAAGAUGAUAAUGUGUUAUAAUUGAGAUUGUGUUGAGUUUUAUAUGUAAAGUAAGUUAGAAUGAAAAAUUGUUGAAGUGAAAAUAAAAGUGAUGUUUGAAAAGGAUAUGUGAUUUGAAGGAGUAAAUGGGAGUUGGAGUGAAUGGAAGUGUAAUUGAAAUGUGACUAAGUGGAAUUUGGCUAUUUCCUACAAGUUGAGUAUGACAAUGUUAAUCUUUUUGGUUGUCUAUAUCAUAGAUGCAAAUGUGCAAUUUAUGGUGAUUGGAGAAUUUGCCCAAACCCAUAGAAAUAGGCACAUAGAUCACACACUGGACCACAUGAUACCUACUUUUCAUAAACAUAGCCAUCCAUCUAUUUCGUAUAUAGAGCUAGCUACCACCAUUUUCAAUUUAUUGUACACUCUUCACUAUUCACUAUUCAAAUGCACUGCUUCUCCCAACAAUAUAAUCACCCAUCAAAGAGACAAGGACAUCUUUGCUUUCUGCUUUCAACAACCAUACACACAUACCUCAAAUCUCUUUUUUUAACUCUUCUUUUUUACACUACCUACCCUUCCCCACUUUCCCUCUUACUUUUUACAUCCUAAAUAUUUACUAUUCAUUCUUAUUAAUAUAUAAUACAUUAUUAAAGAUUUAAACCACUUUUCCAUCAACCACCAUUUUAAAAAUGUCACCUAAAGACUUUAAAAAUAAUUAUCUAAUUUUUUUUAUGAUAGUGUUCUUUUGUAAUUCUUAAUUUUGGUUAUAGAAAAAUUGUAUUAUUGAAGAAAAUCAUUUUUUUUCAUUUUUUAGUGUGUUUUAAUUUAACACACCAAAUACUAACAAGACAUGAGAUUUUAAAACAUGUUUCUAUAUUAGUUAUUAUUUUUUUUAGAAAUAAAUAAAAAUAUUAAGAGUAUUUCAACCCAUAUAAAAAAAAACUCCCUACAAGAAAAUCAUGAAAGAUAAACCAAUUUUAGAAACCAAAAUUAAUUAGUUGUUAUAGUGACUAAAUUAGAGACCAUUUUAGAAACUAAAAAAAAUAGUUUAUAAAUUAGUUUCUAUAAUUGUUAAAUGAUUUCUAAAUUGGUAUCUAAUUAGCUACCAAGGUUUUUGCUACCAAAUUUAUAAUCCAAAUAAUUGGUAGUUAAAACCUUGGUAGCUAAUUAGAAAUCAAUUUAGAAACUAUUUAACAAUAAUAGAAACUAAUUUAGAAACCAAAAUUUUUAUUAGUCUAUUAAAUGGUCUCUAAUUUAGUUACUAUAUUAAUUAAUUAAUUUUGGCCUCUAAAAUUGGUUUCUAUUUCAUGAUUUUCUUGCAGUGACUCUAACUAGAGUUAAAAGUAAAAAAACUAAAAAAUUCUAGCAUAAUCAUCAAUUAAGAAAUAUCAUAAAAGAAAAAUAUAUUAUUUUCUAUAAAGAGAUAUAUGUGGGUGUAAUAUAUAUUUACAUUCUGAUGUGGUUAAUGACGUUUGGGGGGCGAUUUGGGUUGGUGUUGUGAGUGGAAUUUGGAGACAUAGGAACUCGAUGACCUUCGACAGGGGUGUGGUAGAUGCGCUCGAGGUAUUUGCACUAGUUCAGGUAAAUGUUUGGUCUUGGAUUUUUGCAAAGUCCUGUUGUAAUUCCUUUACGUAUCUCAACUGGGUUUUGAACCCAGUGGAUUGUAUGAGGCUGGUUGUUUAAUGCUUUCUUGUGUUGCUUUGGUUGUUCCUUAUUUAGUUGGAAGGUGUUCAUUGGUUGGAGGUUGGUAAGGCAAUAGCUAUUUAUGUAUAAGGGUUGGACCACCCCUGAAGUGGUUCCCAUUUAUUUAUUUUUUAUUGCUGAUAAAAAAAAAUAUUUACAUUAUGAUAAAUGAAUAACUUGAAUAAACUGAUUUGCCAAAGCCUAAGGAUGUAAUUUCAUCCAACAAUACACGAAUAAUGCAUAUAAAAUGAUAUAGAGAAACUUUUGUAGAUAAAUAGAAACUUUCUAAGUUAGUUACAUUUUUGUUUAAUUAAUGUAUGAAGAGUUAGGAGACUUGUUUAUAUUAAAUUGAGACAUGUUUGUAUUACAACCCUACAUUGAUUCUCCCUCUCAUUUCUGUCUCACAACCCCAUUGUUGGCACCCACCCUCAUUCUCCUUGCUGACACCAUCAUCUUUCUCUUUGUAGAUAACGUUGCACUAUAUGUCUUUCUUCUACAUUGUGCAUAGAAACGAGGAUAUGUACUUGCCUAGUUCAUAUCCACUCUUUUCCCUAAUUUUGAUUUGAGUUCAACAAUGAUGACGCUGGUGAUAGCAGCACUAACAUGGAGUCACUUUCUCCUUAUUUGAUAACUCUACUAGUAAUGGUGACACUAUGUUGAAGAUAGUGGCGUUUGCAACAAAUUGAAAUUCAAAUCCAUGAAACUUAAGAUUCAUAAAUUAUUUUAUUUGAAAAAGAUUGGAGUCCAUGGCUUUCUGAUUUGACAUUCUGAAGAGAUAAGAACAAUUUAAAUCAUGUGUAUAGAAAUUCAUCUUAGUCUAUAAUUAGACCAAAUUCAUGAUCCUUAACUUUCAUGUCGGUGAUGUCCUUCCUUUUAG